UGCUUGUACCUAGAAGGGAGAUGAGGAAACACACAUGUAGCUGAGCAGACUUAAACCAGUACACCGCUGAAGACAACUCCCAAGAGAGAAAAAGGAUACAAAGAGUCCAGAAACAAUGUACUCUCCUAGCAUCAUAAGCUGAAGUCUGAAGCUCCACUGACCUGUAGAGAAGCUCCUGAGCAACAAUAUCUCCAUAGUCAUGAGAAAGAAGGUUGAUCCUGCGGUUCUGGAGCCCCAGAUGCCGCAAAAGCGCUUCCACGAUGCUGGCCUGCUCAAAUAUGGAAUAGUGAUGUGGUCUCUGAGGAAAGGAAAGCCCACAUACACAGGAUGAAGUCAUGAGGACAGCUCUCUCUGCCAGCCUGACCCUCACAGUCUGCGUCUGCCCCCACACCCCAUCACCAGCCCCAGAUAGGUGCUGCUUACCGGUUUGUCACUGAAGCCAAAGCCUAAGAAAUCAAGGGCAAUCACCCGAUGAAACCUCAAGGUCAGACCUUCCCAAAUCUACAAGAAAGAAAGGAUGAUUUGGGCUUUCUGCUCCUGCCCCUCCCUUUCACCAGACCUACAGUAGCACAGGAGCUUCAGCCCUAUCUUGGCUUAACAGACUUCCAUAAAGAGAAAAUGCCAUGAAACUACCACAGGUCCCACAGAUGAUCCUCUUGGAAAAUGCUUUAUUCCUGGUAAUUAAUCCCUGUUGAGGGAGGGUAACUUGGCAGUGAUCCCUUCCAGAGUGCCAAGGAGUUGUUUAUUCCCUUCAGUAAAUAAGGAACAGUUCAACAUUUAAUGUUUUUUUAAAAGCAAUUCAAAUGUGCAAGAGCCUUCUGGUGCUGACAACAAAAUCCUUGAGGUUUUUUUAAUUUUUAUUAAAAAAAAAUUUCUUUUUGAGACACACUCUCGCUCUGUCACCUAGGCUGAAGUGCAGUGGUGCAAUCUCAGCUCACUGCAACCUCUGCCUCCCGGGUUCAAGCGAUUCUCCUGCCUCAGCCUCCCAGGUAGCUGGGAUUACAGGCUUGUGCCACCAUGCCUGGCUAAUUUUUAUACUUUUAGUAGAGAUGGGGUUUUGCCAUGUUGCCCUGGCUGGUCUCAAACUCCUGACCUCAGGUCAUCCUCCCACCUCAGCCUCCCAAAGUGCUAGGAUUUGAGCCCCCACGCCUGGCCGAGAUUUUUUAAGACAUAGUAGGACGUAGAAGUCUGACUUCAUUACCUUGUACCAGUCGUAGCUGGAUGUUGGAAAACCGUGUAAAAGCACAACUAUCUCUGGACUUCCAACCACACCCACAGAGUCUAGGAAGAAGGAAAGUACAAUCAAUUAUGCCAAAUCCCUAUAAAAAUAACCUCGAAGAUGUUAAAAUCUAAGUAAUCUGAUACAAAGAACAAGAAACUGUGACCAAAUUGACAUUAAAAUGACACAAUUAUUUUUAAAAUGUAAGCUUAACUGCGUUAGGUGAGAACAGGCCUUUUCUCCUUUCAAUCUGUAUAUUAAAACAUUGUAAAAAUCAUGCUAUGUGAAAAUACUUGAAGGCACCUUGUUUACUUUCACCUAAGUGUUUUUAAACAGCAUCUCCCCAUUUCUCCUUUUGUUCUGUAAUAUGCAAAUUUUUUCACAGUGAAAAGUAAAUUUUCAGUUAAAAGCAUAUGAUCACAACACAUAAACUACAAAUUCUUUGUACUUUAUCAUGAAUGGCCUCACAGAAAUUCUCUAAGAUACAGCAACUAUUCCCAAGGAACACCUUUAGCUUAUGCUGUUUGCUCAGCACUUUUUAUUCAGCAGGAGACCCAAUCUAACAUCAAAAACAUAAUAAAACUAUUACAAAAUCCUGUCAACUAUAAAAAGGGCUUAAUCAACAUAAACAUGAACUUUUUUAAUGCAUAUGACAAUACGGAAGCAUUCAGCAUCAUCUAAAUUAGGUAAACAUUUAGACAAUAUUAACCUUGCUAAUAGUAUUGGAUUAGAACAGGUAUAUUCAUAUACUGCCAGUGACAUGAAAAUUUGGUAAUAAGGUUUUCAAAAAUAAUUUAGAAGCAGUUAAAAAUUGUAUAUACUUUAGCCUAAGAGUUUUGUUCUUGAGAAUCUGUGCAAAUAAAAUCAUUCCAUUUAUACAAGUAGUAUAGUUUGAAAAUGUAAGGAAAAAAUAAACUGUAUGGACAUGAAGCUUUUACUUCAACAUUAGUUUUUUAAAACAGUAAAACUGGAAAUAACCCAAGCCAACAUAAUAAAAAUUGUAUACUUACUUAAUUGAAUAUAGCAAAUGAGAGGAGGUCAGGAGCAAUAAUGAAAAACGGUUUAUGACAAACAUUUUUCGUUAUUGCUCUUGACCCCCGCUCAAAACAAAUCAUUUCCAAUCUGUUUCUCAGUUUCUUCACCUAUAAAAUGAGGUUAAUGGCACCUAUCUCCAAAUGCUGUUGUAAAGAUUAAACAAUGAAGGCUGAAAACAUAACUCAGUGCCUGGCAUAUGGUAAUUACUUGAUAAGUAGUGGUCAUAAUAAUAAUCAUCACUAGCAAAUUAAUUUAUAUAAUGGUAUUAAGACUUAAAUCACAGUUACACUACAAAUAAUCUACAGAAAAAAUGAAAUCAGGGAUGGUAAGGAGAGAGAACCAAUGGUGGUUAUAUCUAUUAAUAUUUUAUAUAUUACCUGACACUAAGGUUGCUC
RNAcentral lists this non-coding RNA (2649 nucleotides) under Pan troglodytes (chimpanzee). The record is from RNAcentral. Lineage: Eukaryota; Metazoa; Chordata; Mammalia; Primates; Hominidae.